RNAcentral lists this ribosomal RNA (1007 nucleotides) under Raffaelea arxii. RNAcentral describes it as "SSU rRNA". It matches the Rfam family "Eukaryotic small subunit ribosomal RNA", at positions 87 to 1103 of the family's 1831-position model. The record is from RNAcentral. Lineage: Eukaryota; Fungi; Ascomycota; Sordariomycetes; Ophiostomatales; Ophiostomataceae.
CUGCGAAUGGCUCAUUAAAUCAGUUAUCGUCUAUUUGAUAGUACCUUACUACUCGGAUAACCGUGGUAAUUCUAGAGCUAAUACGUGCUGAAAACCCCGACUUCGGAAGGGGUGUAUUUAUUAGAUUAAAAGCCAAUGCCCCCCGGGGCCCCUUGGUGAUUCAUGAUAACUCCUCGAAUCGCACGGCCUUGCGCCGGCGAUGGUUCAUUCAAAUUUCUGCCCUAUCAACUUUCGACGGCUGGGUCUUGGCCAGCCGUGGUGACAACGGGUAACGGAGGGUUAGGGCUCGACCCCGGAGAAGGAGCCUGAGAAACGGCUACUACAUCCAAGGAAGGCAGCAGGCGCGCAAAUUACCCAAUCCCGACGCGGGGAGGUAGUGACAAUAAAUACUGAUACAGGGCUCUUUCGGGUCUUGUAAUUGGAAUGAGUACAAUUUAAUUCCCUUAACGAGGAACAAUUGGAGGGCAAGUCUGGUGCCAGCAGCCGCGGUAAUUCCAGCUCCAAUAGCGUAUAUUAAAGUUGUUGCAGUUAAAAAGCUCGUAGUUGAACCUUGGGCCUGGCUGGCCGGUCCGCCUCACCGCGUGCACUGGUCCGGCCGGGCCUUUCCCUCUGGGGAACCGCAUGCCCUUCGCUGGGCGUGCCGGGGAACCAGGACGUUUACUUUGAAAAAAUUAGAGUGUUCAAAGCAGGCUUAUGCUCGGAUACAUUAGCAUGGAAUAAUGGAAUAGGACGUGCGGUUCUAUUUUGUUGGUUUCUAGGACCGCCGUAAUGAUUAAUAGGGACAGUCGGGGGCAUCCGUAUUCAGUUGUCAGAGGUGAAAUUCUUGGAUCUACUGAAGACGAACUACUGCGAAAGCAUUUGCCAAGGAUGUUUUCAUUAAUCAGGAACGAAAGUUAGGGGAUCGAAGACGAUCAGAUACCGUCGUAGUCUUAACCAUAAACUAUGCCGACUAGGGAUCGGACGGUGUUGCUUUUUGACCCGUUCGGCACCUUGCACGAAAGUACAAG